Molecule: ribosomal RNA, 300 nt
Filed under: Spirometra erinaceieuropaei
Lineage: Eukaryota; Metazoa; Platyhelminthes; Cestoda; Diphyllobothriidea; Diphyllobothriidae
Description: partial small subunit ribosomal RNA
Source: RNAcentral
GGAUUAGAUACCCCCGUAACUAAUUAUUUAAUUGAACUUAGUUUUAUAACUAAAAUAGUUUGGCAGUGAGUUAUUCCGGUCAGGGGAAGGUGUGUUUUAAAGGACGACCCGCCUAUUAAUUUACCCCAACUAUGUUGGUGUAUAUCUGGUUGAAUAUUAUUGCUUAGUUGCUUGAAUUUGUGUAUUAAUAUUUAAGCUAAGUCUAUGUGCUGCAUGUUGGGGUUUUCAUGCGUUACAUUUAUAAACUUUAAUACCUGUAAUGGUUUAUAUUUUAGGACUUGAUAGUAAUACUAAAUAAGU